GUCAGAAUUUGGGUGAGAAUUGAUUUUGGGUCAAGUUUAUUUAAUGGCCAAUCAAAACGUGACACGUGGAAUUCAAAAAAAUUAAAAAUUAAAUACAAGCAUCCCGACCGACCCGACCCAAAAAACACCAAACCCUCUCUUCAUCUUCCUCAUAACACACCCGCUCUAACCCUAAACCACCAAACGACCUCUCAUGGCUACCCCGUUGCUUCAUCUUCCCCGUCCAGCCCGUCACCUUCACAUCGCCGGAAAACUUCACAACCAAACAGCCCCCCUCCAUCACGAACCAGGCGUCCAACCCGUCCUCCAUAACCAAGCCAUGAAAAACCAGCCCCCCAUUGGAUAGGAAUGACCAAUCCA
This 360-nucleotide long non-coding RNA is filed under the name Nicotiana benthamiana. RNAcentral's name for it is "long non-coding RNA (NBEN_LNC025810)". Lineage: Eukaryota; Viridiplantae; Streptophyta; Magnoliopsida; Solanales; Solanaceae. The record is from RNAcentral.